UUAAGUUUAGCGGGUAUUCUUAUUUGAUUCGAGGUUAACCAUAGAAAAUUGGGGGUUGCUGGCUAGCAUCUACUGGGACUCAUAUGCGAGGGUAUAAUUACUACGCGUAGAGCUUGAUGGCGCCGCUACUGCUUUUAAGGCUAGCUGUCGCUGGCAGGGCCCAAGACUAAGCUGUGCUUGAGGGUUGAAAUAACGCUUGA
RNAcentral lists this unclassified non-coding RNA (200 nucleotides) under Helotiales sp. RNAcentral describes it as "partial internal transcribed spacer 2". Lineage: Eukaryota; Fungi; Ascomycota; Leotiomycetes; Helotiales. The record is from RNAcentral.